This 773-nucleotide ribosomal RNA is filed under the name uncultured Neocallimastigales. RNAcentral describes it as "partial large subunit ribosomal RNA". It matches the Rfam family "Eukaryotic large subunit ribosomal RNA", at positions 24 to 647 of the family's 3401-position model. Lineage: Eukaryota; Fungi; Neocallimastigomycota; Neocallimastigomycetes; Neocallimastigales. The record is from RNAcentral.
UAGUCUCGCACAGAUGCAUAUCAAUAAGCGGAGGAAAAGAAACUAACAAGGAUUCCCCUAGUAACGGCGAGUGAAGCGGGAAGAGCUCAAAUUUGAAAUCUUAAAGGGUUUCCCUUUACGAAUUGUAGUUUAAAGAAGUGUUUUCUGUUGAGGUUUUGGUAAAAGUUCUUUGGAAUAGGACAUCAUAGAGGGUGAGAAUCCCGUAUUUGACCUUUACUUUCAACUUUGUGAUACACUUUCAAAGAGUCGGAUUGUUUGGGAAUGCAGUCCAAAAUGGGUGGUAAAUUUCAUCUAAAGCUAAAUAUUGGCGAGAGACCGAUAGCGAACAAGUACCGUGAGGGAAAGAUGAAAAGAACUUUGAAAAGAGAGUUAAACAGUACGUGAAAUUGUCAAAAGGGAAGCGUUUGACACCAGUGUUGUUUUUCUGAAAAUCAAUUAAAGAACUGUUUAUGCUAAGCUGUUUAGACUUUAUCAGCUAUCUGUUUAGUUUUGAGCUUUUCUUUAAUGCACUUUUCAGUUAACAAGUCAACAUCAAUUUCUUUUGCUGUAAAAAAGCUUGAGGAAGGUGGCUUGAGAUUCGUCUUAAGUGUUUAUAGCCUCUUGCCUAUGCAGUCGGAGAGAUUGAGGUCUGCAGCGUAGAUCCUUCGGGGCUAAAUGCAUUUGUGCUAAGUUAUAACAUUUUAUAGACAACUUGUUGACUAUGAUUUGUCUUGUAGCUUACUCGCUUAUGUUAUUUUACCUACGCUUAGGAUGUUGAUCUGUAGUGCGUGCGC